UGCGUAGGCGGAAUGAUAAGUUAGUGGUGAAAGCCCCCGGCUCAACCGGGGAACUGCCAUUAAUACUGUCAUUCUUGAGUAUAGUUGAAGUGGGCGGAAUGUAUCAUGUAGCGGUGAAAUGCUUAGAUAUGAUACAGAACACCGAUAGCGUAGGCAGCUUGCUAAACUAUAACUGCCGCUCAGGCACGAAAGCGUGGGGAGCAAACAGGAUUAGAUACCCUGGUAGUCC
RNAcentral lists this ribosomal RNA (229 nucleotides) under uncultured bacterium. RNAcentral describes it as "partial 16S ribosomal RNA". It matches the Rfam family "Bacterial small subunit ribosomal RNA", at positions 568 to 796 of the family's 1533-position model. The record is from RNAcentral.